This 545-nucleotide long non-coding RNA is filed under the name Ananas comosus (pineapple). RNAcentral's name for it is "long non-coding RNA (ACOM_LNC029003)". Lineage: Eukaryota; Viridiplantae; Streptophyta; Magnoliopsida; Poales; Bromeliaceae. The record is from RNAcentral.
GGUGUGUUGCGUAGAGUAAUCUUUUAUUUUUUGUUGGAUUGGGCUUUAUAUUUAGGCAUUAGUAGAUGUGUUUUUAAAUUUUAACAUAAAUGGGACACUUACUAAAAAGUGUCCCAAACAUGUGUCACUAUAACCUAAUUUUGUUGUAGUGGGCCUCUAACGUCAAUUUUUUUUUUCUUUGUUCAUGUACAUAAAAGAAAAUUUAUAAUUUUUUUAAGUCUAAUCUAAUUUUUUAUUUUGUACUAUAAAUAUUUAAAAUAUAUAAAAAAAUUGGAUAAAAAAAGUUUUUGAAAAAUUGGAUUUACACUUUCAUCCUUAAAACUAUAAGACGAAUAAGAAUUUAAUCCUCAAAAUUUUAAUGUAUUAUGAUUUAAACAAUAAGAUAUGUGAUAUUUUCAUCCUCAACCUUUAAUUAGUUACUUAUUUUUCAGUUGUUUAUUUUAUGUAAUUCUUUGACUUUUUAUUUUGCUAUGUUUUAAUUUAUUUAUUUAUUUAUUUAUUUCUACAAAGUCGUCCCGCAGCAACGCGCGGUCCUUCACUAGUAU